AACGGCCAUACCAAGCUGAAAUAUACCUGUUCUCGUUAGAUCACCGAAGUCAAAGCAUCAUUGGGCGCGGUUGGUCAGUACUUGGGUGGGUGACCACCUGGGAACACUGCAUGCCGUU
This 118-nucleotide ribosomal RNA is filed under the name Caerostris extrusa. Lineage: Eukaryota; Metazoa; Arthropoda; Arachnida; Araneae; Araneidae. The record is from RNAcentral.